Molecule: ribosomal RNA, 376 nt
Filed under: uncultured bacterium
Lineage: Bacteria
Description: bacterial SSU rRNA
Rfam family: Bacterial small subunit ribosomal RNA
Source: RNAcentral
AACGUAGGAGCCAAGCGUUAUCCGAAUUCACUGGGCGUAAAGCGCGUGCAGGCGGUUGGGUAAGUUGGAUGUGAAAUCGCCCGGCUCAACUGGGCGAGGUCGUUCAAAACUGCCUGACUCGAGGACGGUAGAGGGAGGUGGAAUUCCCGGUGUAGUGGUGAAAUGCGUAGAGAUCGGGAGGAACACCAGUGGCGAAGGCGGCCUCCUGGACCGGACCUGACGCUCAGACGCGAAAGCUAGGGGAGCGAACGGGAUUAGAAACCCCGGUAGUCCUAGCUGUAAACGAUGUAGACUAGGUGUGGGUGGGGUAAAAGCCAUCCGUGCCGCAGCUAACGCGCUAAGUCUACCGCCUGGGGACUACGGCCGCAAGGUUAAA